CUCCCAUCAGAUCACCUUCAACACCAACAUGUUCUCUGUAGUUCUGUUGCUGCUGCUGGCUGCUGCAUCCUGUGUGAAGUGUGAACAGCUGACACAGCCAGCCUCUGUGACUGUGCAGCCAGGUCAACGUCUGACCAUCAGCUGUCAGGUCUCUUAUUCUCUGGGCAGCUACACAGCUUGGAUCAGACAGUCUGCUGGGAAAGGACUGGAGUGGAUUGGGAUGAAAGAUAGUUAUGGAAAUGUGCACUUCAAAGGUUCACUGAAGAACAAGUUCAGUAUUGAUUUAGACACUUCCAGUAAAACAGUGACUCUGAAUGGACAGAAUAUGCAGCCUGAAGACUCUGCAGUGUAUUACUGUGCCAGAGUCACAGUGACACAAACCAGCAGCAGAGCUGAACAAAAACCCCAAAGAGCCUGAACACCUGCUGCUUGCAAUCACCAGAGGAGACAGUCCAAGACCAAUUUUUGUGCAGCUUUUAAUUUCACACUGAUGUAUGGCUCUAUGUAUAUGAUUAUUUUUAUUUGUUUUUGUUUACUUGGUGUGUUGUUUUUUAAAAGGCUAUAUAACUACACAUAAUAUGGAGUGGUAUUUGGAACCACAAUAAUAAAAAACAAUAAAAAGGUAAAUUUCAUCAUCUGGUGGAAAUAUCUGUUUGACUAAAGCAAGAUUGAAAAUUAUUUUUAUAUCAGAUAAGUAAUCAUACAAUCAGGAAAAAAGUUUAAUGAUUGUUUUAAGAUCACUAUCAAUAAGUUUAUCAGUUUGAUCAACUGAUAAACACCUCUGUACACCUAAUUU
Xiphophorus hellerii (green swordtail) is the source of this 796-nucleotide non-coding RNA. NCBI's taxonomy places the organism in Eukaryota, Metazoa, Chordata, Actinopteri, Cyprinodontiformes, Poeciliidae. The record is from the annotation of a RefSeq genome assembly.